GGGAAAUUAAUAGAGCAGAAAAUUUGAAAUGAUGUGGAAAUAAUUCUUCUGGCUUAAGGAGAGCUCCUCGUAUGCUUAAUUUCAGAACACAACUGUUUGCGUGUUGCUAAAUUACAGUAUCAAGGCAAGGAGCCCUGACUGGAGCUUAUGGGACACGGGGACAUUUCCACUCGUGUGGAGAGCUUUCCCACCUGGAGCAAGGUAAGGGUAGGGGUGACCCGAGUUUGCCGUGGGGUUGGGCCACAGGGUGGUGGAGGUUUUUCUUGGAAGAUCUGGAGUGCUGCUUAUGGCCUUCAUGAAGAUUUGUCCUGUCACCUUUUCAUUCCUAGCUUGGCCCUGCCAUAAGCAGCUGGGGCAGGGAAAGGGAAUGGGGAGGUCUCUGAAGUUUCUGCUGCCUCCAACCCUGCAGCAUUUCCAAAACUCUGCUCCCUUUUCAUCAAAGGGAUGUCUGUCCCAUUCGUUGUGCCAAGCAAAGAGGCUGAGGCACAGCCAGGCCUGGGACCUGGACAAGCCAGCAGGGACAAGAGGUUGUAGCAAUGAUGGGAAGGGAGGAGGAAAAGCUCUUGUUGGAUGGAAACGUCUUGAAUCUGCCCCGUGUGCGGGGUCUGGCACCAGCUGCGAGGAUGCCACCGAUGCCCUGACCUGGUCUGCCACCCCACAGCUCCCUUGGCCUGUGGGAUGGCAGAUGGAGUCCAAAGCCCGAAGUCCAGAAGAAGCACAAGCCGUCGGCCUCCACCUCAGCCUGGCAGGAGCCAUCGCAGCCCCUCGCCAUCCUCAUCCCCAGGUUAAGCCAGCCCUUGCUGUACAGACCGCAGCAGUACAGGACGGUGAGGAUACUCCCUGGUCCUCAGAGCCUGGAUUUCCCACCUGGGUAGGACCUUCUGGGCCAUCUCCGUGUCACACUGAAUUUUUCAGGGUCCCGAGGUUGUCCCUGCUGCUCUGUCUCUACCUGGCUGGAGGUCAUAAGCUGCGGCAGUGA
This 979-nucleotide long non-coding RNA is filed under the name Anas platyrhynchos platyrhynchos (common mallard). RNAcentral describes it as "lncRNA (ENSAPLG00000024197.1)". Lineage: Eukaryota; Metazoa; Chordata; Aves; Anseriformes; Anatidae. The record is from RNAcentral.